CAUCACGCGGGCGCGGACAUCGGCGGCGAUGGCUUCCCAGAUACGCGGCGCGAACAGCACGAAGGUCGGCGCGAUCUCGCGGAAGUCGUUCAUCAUCGUGUCCGGCUCUUCGACGAAGUUGACCUUCAUCCGCGAGAGCAGACCUUUGCCGAGCGCGUAGACCUGCUCCAUGAUCCAGGGCAGGGGCAGCACCGAGACGUAUUCGUCGUCCGGGCCUUUGGGAUCGAAGGCGAGAUAGUUCGCACAGUGGCUGAGCACGCGGCCCGCCGCCAGCAUGGCGAGCUUGGGGUUCGACGUGGUGCCCGAUGUCGUGC
RNAcentral lists this unclassified non-coding RNA (314 nucleotides) under Hevea brasiliensis (rubber tree). The record is from RNAcentral. Lineage: Eukaryota; Viridiplantae; Streptophyta; Magnoliopsida; Malpighiales; Euphorbiaceae.